Molecule: ribosomal RNA, 526 nt
Filed under: Parabathippus kiabau
Lineage: Eukaryota; Metazoa; Arthropoda; Arachnida; Araneae; Salticidae
Description: partial 16S ribosomal RNA
Rfam family: Bacterial large subunit ribosomal RNA (bases 137-431)
Source: RNAcentral
AGCCGCAUUUUGUGCUAAGGUAGCAUAAUCAUUUGUCUUUUAAAUAAAGACUAGAACAAAAGAUUUAACAUUUCAAUUUAUUUAUUUAAUUUAUAAAUUAAAAUUUUCAAAAAAGUAAUAAGACUUUUAUUUAAUAAGAAAGACGAUAAGACCCUAUAGAACUUAACUUUAGUUGAACUGGGGUAGUAUAAUCAAUUAUAAUUUUUAUUUAACAACAAUUAUAUAUAUCCACUAUUAAUGAUAAUUCAGUUACCUUAGGGAUAACAGCGCAAUUAUAUUUUAAAGUUCUUAUUAAAAAAAUAGAUUACGACCUCGAUGUUGAAUUAAUAACCUAAAUAUAGAAAAUUAUAUUAAAGGGAGUCUGUUCGACUUUUAAAAAAUUACAUGAUUUGAGUUCAGACCGGUAUAAGCCAGGUCGGCUUCUAUCUUCUAUAAAUUAUUUUACAGUACGAAAGGACCUAAAAUUUUAAUUAAAUUAAUUAAUUGGCAGAUAAAUGCAUUAGAAUUAGAAUCUAAUAAUAUUAAA